Molecule: ribosomal RNA, 269 nt
Filed under: uncultured prokaryote
Description: partial 16S ribosomal RNA
Rfam family: Bacterial small subunit ribosomal RNA
Source: RNAcentral
UACGUAGGUGGCAAGCGUUGUCCGGAUUUACUGGGUGUAAAGGGAGCGCAGGCGGGACGGCAAGUUGGAUGUGAAAAACUGAGGCUCAACCUCAGUCCUGCAUCCAAAACUGUUGUUCUUGAGUGGAGCAGAGGUAAGCGGAAUUCCGAGUGUAGCGGUGAAAUGCGUAGAUAUUCGGAGGAACACCAGUGGCGAAGGCGGCUUACUGGACUCUAACUGACGCUGAGGCUCGAAAGCGUGGGGAGCAAACAGGAUUAGAUACCCGCGUA